This 317-nucleotide ribosomal RNA is filed under the name Comamonas terrigena. Its description in RNAcentral is "bacterial SSU rRNA". It matches the Rfam family "Bacterial small subunit ribosomal RNA", at positions 1141 to 1456 of the family's 1533-position model. Lineage: Bacteria; Pseudomonadati; Pseudomonadota; Betaproteobacteria; Burkholderiales; Comamonadaceae. The record is from RNAcentral.
UAAUGGGACUGCCCGGUGACAAACCGGAGGAAGGUGGGGAUGACGUCAAGUCCUCAUGGCCCUUAUAGGUGGGGCUACCCACGUCAUACAAUGGCUGGUACAAAGGGUUGCCAACCCGCGAGGGGGAGCUAAUCCCAUAAAGCCAGUCGUAGUCCGGAUCGCAGUCUGCAACUCGACUGCGUGAAGUCGGAAUCGCUAGUAAUCGUGGAUCAGAAUGUCACGGUGAAUACGUUCCCGGGUCUUGUACACACCGCCCGUCACACCAUGGGAGCGGGUCUCGCCAGAAGUAGGUAGCCUAACCGUAAGGAGGGCGCUUA